CUGGCGUGAAGGAGUUGGGUCUCCCUCCCCCGGCCCAGUUGCUGGCUGGGCUGGGGGAGGGGAAAGCCACGUGGCCCAUCUACGAUCCAUGGACGGUUUCCUGGUGAUACAGAGGCUGCAUUGCAGGGGGAAGCGGAGGCUCGGAGCCAAGAGUGUUUGGUGUUGAGACCCCUCGGCCCCAGGGGGUGUAGAAGAAAUGGGGGGGACAAAGGUCCCAGAGAUGAGAGUGUGCUCUGCUUGGAACGAGAUGAGGCAUUCUUAAAAGGCCCACCCUGAAAGCAGGCCUCUGCCCCAUCCCAUGCCUGGUGGUGAGAGCACCUUGGCAUGGAAAGGAGAUGUCAUGAGACAGCAGGACUCCGGGCGGUGUGCUAAUUGUGACAAGAAGUCCGUGGCACAAGGAAGGACUCUGUCUACUCUUCAUGAGCGGAAGAUUUGAUUUUCUAAAGGGUGGUGCCAGACCGAGUGUGGAUAAUUUUGGGAAAUGAAUUGUACUGGGAUCUGGAGGAGGAGGGGGAAGUGGUUCUGUGUAGUUUUCAUUCUCUUUGUGUUUCCUUUUUUUUUGUGUGUGUAGUUUAGUAAUUGUGUGUGUAGUUUAGUUAAUAAACUUUUCUUUAUGUUUAA
Molecule: long non-coding RNA, 621 nt
Organism: Melospiza melodia melodia
Lineage: Eukaryota; Metazoa; Chordata; Aves; Passeriformes; Passerellidae
Exons: 2
Source: RefSeq, a predicted model, not a curated record